RNAcentral lists this ribosomal RNA (200 nucleotides) under uncultured bacterium. Its description in RNAcentral is "partial 16S ribosomal RNA". It matches the Rfam family "Bacterial small subunit ribosomal RNA", at positions 309 to 501 of the family's 1533-position model. The record is from RNAcentral.
CACGCUGCGACCGGGGCAGGGUUCAGACUCCUACGGGAGGCAGCAGUGGGGAAUAUUGGACAAUGGGCGAAAGCCUGAUCCAGCACAUGCCGCGUGUGUGAAGAAGGUCUUCGGAUUGUAAAGCACUUUAAGUUGGAGGAAGGGCAUUAACCUAAUACGUUAGUGUUUUGACGUUACCGACAGAAUAAGCACCGGCUAAC